RNAcentral lists this long non-coding RNA (239 nucleotides) under Manihot esculenta (cassava). Its description in RNAcentral is "long non-coding RNA (MESC_LNC009915)". Lineage: Eukaryota; Viridiplantae; Streptophyta; Magnoliopsida; Malpighiales; Euphorbiaceae. The record is from RNAcentral.
UUUUGAAUUCUUGAUCAACACUGCUACCAAACAAGUCCUUGACCAGCAGAGGACUUGCCCAGACUUUUACCUAAUUAUUUCGGACCCAUUAAUGUUAAAGAAUUAAUAUAUCUGAAAUAGAAAAGCAAGAAAAGAAAGCCAGCAGAAAGCUUAACAUGCUGGCAUAUUUUUGGGUUUGGUCUUUCUUUUUCUGACAUUUAAUGGAAUCUUGGGUUUCGAAGGUUUUGGGUUCAUCGGCC